This is a long non-coding RNA of Alnus glutinosa, 337 nucleotides long. RefSeq lists it as uncharacterized. NCBI's taxonomy places the organism in Eukaryota, Viridiplantae, Streptophyta, Magnoliopsida, Fagales, Betulaceae. The record is from RefSeq and is a predicted model, not a curated record. The transcript is spliced from 2 exons.
GCCACUUUUGUUCUUACUUAACGCCUCUUUUUCCACCGUUAAUCAACCUCUCCCCGCUUCAGCCAUGGCAGCAUUGUUGAGAUCCCUCGUCCUUGCACUCGUGCUCUUCUCCCUCUUCCUUUCCCACAUUCCAGGUGUAACAUUUCCAAGCGUGGUAUUAUCGUCAGGAGUUGAAGCAGGGGCAACAGUGCAAAGAAGUCAGUGUAGGCGCAAUAUUGAGUGCUUGAAUCAGAUUAUUUGUCCGUUUGGCCUCCUACUUUGUACCUUCGGAAAAUGCAUUUGUGUACCUCCCUCUAAUAUUUAGAAUAAAGGAAAAAAAUAGUUGGCAAUGUUCUAA